This 23-nucleotide microRNA is filed under the name Lepisosteus oculatus (spotted gar). RNAcentral describes it as "Loc-Mir-221-P1c_5p (mature (co-guide))". The record is from RNAcentral. Lineage: Eukaryota; Metazoa; Chordata; Actinopteri; Semionotiformes; Lepisosteidae.
GCUCAGUAUUCAGUGUAGAGUCU